Molecule: unclassified non-coding RNA, 407 nt
Filed under: fungal sp.
Lineage: Eukaryota; Fungi
Description: partial internal transcribed spacer region
Rfam family: Eukaryotic small subunit ribosomal RNA (bases 1-46)
Source: RNAcentral
AAGUCGUAACAAGGUUUCCGUAGGUGAACCUGCGGAAGGAUCAUUAACACGUAUCCACGUUUUAUCAACAACUACUAAGAACUGUGCUCCCUAUUGAAUAACAUGAAAGAUUGUUGUAAUCCUGUCUUGGUGGGUCCCUGUUCUGUAAAAGGUUCAGUGUGGCUGGCAGGCGUCAACUACCACUCCUUUGAGAGUGAAUCAAUCGACUUUUCAGUAGGCUUAUUAACUCUUACCUCGCGUGGUUAACACCGAUCCCUACCAUCAUAGGGCCGGGGAUAAGGACAACAUACCAAUUUCACCCUAUUUUACCUAUUUGACUAAUACAAACAUUCAUUGGAGAAAUCCUUUGAAUGACUAAGAUUUAUCUUAACUAAGCACAACUCUUAGCAAUGGAUAUCUUGGUUCUC